Molecule: ribosomal RNA, 268 nt
Filed under: uncultured Nordella sp.
Lineage: Bacteria; Pseudomonadati; Pseudomonadota; Alphaproteobacteria; Hyphomicrobiales
Description: partial 16S ribosomal RNA
Rfam family: Bacterial small subunit ribosomal RNA
Source: RNAcentral
UUGUCCUAUGUUCAUGGUGUCAGUAGGAGACUGCCCGGGACAACCGGGAGGAAGGUGAGGAUGACGCCAAAUCAGCAUGGCCUUUUGAUGCCCUGGGCUGCACACGUGGUACAAUGGGACCGACAAUGGGAAGCUAAAGAGUAAUCUGGAGCAAAUCCUAUCAAACGGUCUCUCAAUUCGGAUUGAGGUCUGAAACCCGACCUCAUGAAGCCGGAAUCGCUAGUAACCGCAGAUCAGCCACGCUGCGGUGAAUAUGUCCCUGGGUCUU